GAUGGUACAGCCGCAUGGCAUAGGUACCGGUUAAAUUUGUUAUAGUAGCUAUAACAAAUUUAACCGGUACCUAUGCCAAGCGGCUGUACCAUCUACUAUAA
Molecule: microRNA precursor, 101 nt
Filed under: Paramuricea clavata
Lineage: Eukaryota; Metazoa; Cnidaria; Anthozoa; Malacalcyonacea; Plexauridae
Source: RNAcentral